Oncorhynchus tshawytscha (Chinook salmon) is the source of this 569-nucleotide long non-coding RNA. The record is from Ensembl. NCBI's taxonomy places the organism in Eukaryota, Metazoa, Chordata, Actinopteri, Salmoniformes, Salmonidae.
GGAAACGAGAACAAACUUUUCCCGGUCAUUUUAUGCAGCUAAAGUUGUUUAGUAUUUUCUCUUAUUUAGACACCAACACAUUAAAGAACACGUCUACAACCUGUAAAAACCAUCCCAGCGAGGAAAGUCGUGAGGUUAGCGAGCUAUUUAUGAUUAUAUGAUUAUAGCGUAACGUUAACCGGCUGGCCAGGUAUCAACAUAGUCAGUCAGUGCACUUGUUGGUGAUACGUCGAUUCAACCUGAAGGUAGCGAGAGAUCACUUGUUUUGUGACCGUAUUGCAGGUUAUUAUUCCAACCUUGCUCUAACGUUAAGUCAACUACACAAGGUCUCGGUGAGCAGGUGUGUUUUGAGCAAGGCUGGAACAAAAACCUGCACACCAGUUCUCCAAGGGUUAGGGUUGGACAUCCUGGCAUCUGCUCCAAUAUACCGAGGGUGGCGUGAUUCAUUAUAACCAGGAACUGAGAAUGAUGCAGUCCUGAAGAAGCUGGAGGUGAUGAUGCUGGAGUGUGCCAAACUGGACCAGGAGAUCAACUGCUUCGUUGAGGUGGUGAACUGUGUCACUGCAGAG